This is a long non-coding RNA of Dunckerocampus dactyliophorus (ringed pipefish), 8124 nucleotides long. RefSeq lists it as uncharacterized. Lineage: Eukaryota; Metazoa; Chordata; Actinopteri; Syngnathiformes; Syngnathidae. The transcript has 7 exons. The record is from RefSeq and is a predicted model, not a curated record.
CUGAUUGCAAAUUGUAUAUAUACAAUAAUUGUGAAACGAAUCAAGCAAUUUCUCAGAUUUUAUUGACGAAGACCAGACAGAAUAUAUUAAAAGUCACCAAACGUAUGACAAUAUUAGAAGGAUGUUGCUCUUGGUAGAUAAAAUACAUCAGGGAAAAAAAGCUACAAUUUAUUAAGUCUUGAUGCAGAAAAGGCAUUUGAUAGGGUCAGGUAAACAUAACUAUCAAACUUCAGAGAGAUUUGGCUUUAACAAAAAACACCUAAAAGCUAGAGUCAAAGUGAAUGGGUCAUUAACACCAGCAUCCACACUGGAAAGUAGACUAGGCAAGGCUGCUGUCUCAGUCCAACAUUAUUUGUCAUCUAUAUUGUCCCGCUGGCCCAGGCAAUCCGACAACAUGAGCAAUUGAAAGGCAGUACAAUAAAACAUAGUGAACAUGUACUUAGUUUAUUUGCAGAUGAUGUCAUGAUCCAUUCAACAGAACCCACCCACCCAGAAUCCAAACUUUGUUCAUUCACGCACUCAGUCAUUCAUUUAACUCACCCGUUCAUUCAUCACUGACUCAUUUAUUCAUUGAUUCAAUCAGUCACCACAGCCAUGGUUAUGACUUAGGACCACAUAAAGGUGGUUUUUGGUCUUAGAGAUUCCACAUUUUGCUACAGUAUGUUAUGUUAGCAUGCCAUGUGAUUGUAGUGCUGCUCCUGCACCUUCUAAAGUUGAUCUUAUCUUACCUUUUGGCCAAAUUCUGGAUAAAAUAGAGCUAGACAGAACUGGACCACAAAGGAAAACCCCAAACGCAUAAAUGUCAUAUUUGUGCUGCAUCAUGCUAACAUACAAAGGGUUCAAAGGUCACAACACGUGUCAUAUGAAAAUGUUACCAAGACAAGUGACAACACCGAUCAGGCUGACCAUAUGUUCACAUUGCAGGGUGUGAUUGCCCAGUUCUGAUUUUUUGUUACGUAAAAUUUGAUCUUUUAUGUAGACGUUCACAUUACCAAAAAAUGUGACUUGUAAAUGUGAAAGUAUUGUGUUCGGAAAGUGACGUGCAUGCACACAAACUGUACUGUACUGUUUACAUCCAUCCAUCUUCUAUACUGCUUAUCCUCACUAGGGUUGGGGGUACGCUGGAGCCUAUCCAGGCUGACUUUGGGCGAGAGGCGGGGUACACCCUGGACUGGUCGCCAGCCAAUCAAACAACCAUUCACACUCAGAUUCAUACCUAUGGACAAUUUAGAGUCAACUUAUAGCCAAUUAACCUGCAUGUUUUUGGAAAUUGGGAGGAAACCGGAGUACCCGGAGAAAACCCACGCACGGGGAGAACAUGCAAACUCCACACAGAGGAUCUCCAACAGAGAUUCGAACCCCGAUCUUCCCGAUCUCCUGACCGUGUGGCCAACAUGCUAACCACUUUUCCACUGUGCGGCUGCCGUGCGGCUAGUUGUAUUAAUUAUUUAAAAUCAUAGAUUAAGAAAUAAUUGAGAAAAAUGGAUAUACUCGGUGUUAAGUGUAAAUUCAAAUUUCUUUCAUUAGAUGAAAAUGAAAUCCGCAUCCGGGUUUUCCGGGUUUUCCGGGUUUUCACUUACCCAGUGGCAAAAAUUAUCAGUACCAUGUCACAUACAGUACAUAAAUUCAUCAAAAUCUACUUGUUAUUUUCUUACCAACAUCUACGUAGCUUUUAAAAUACCAUGAAAAGCUUUAUUCAUUUGGAUUUUUUUUGUUCUCAAACAACAUGGCUUAAUUAGGUCUUCUGAGGAUAAGGAUUUCACUUCAAGAGCCUGUCCACCAGAGAGUGCCAUUCUUCAAGAAAAAUUACACAUCAGCUCAUUUAGCUGUAGUAGUGACCAGGAAAAGAAGAAGAGGAAGAGGAUGAACAGAAAGAACAAAAGGGAAGAAGAAGAAGAUGAAGAACAAGAAAAGGAAGAACAUAAAGACAAAGAGGAAGAAGAAGAAGGAGAGGAAGAAGAGAAAGAGGCGGCGGCACAACGUCACAGUCCAGUGAGGAGGAGAAGGAGCCAGAGAAGAAGACAGCAGGUUCCAAAGCAGGUGGUCAUCUCAUCACUGAUGAUAUCAACAACUUCAGCCAGAAGCCAGCGACCUUGAACCUCUCCGUGAUCUUUCUUUAGGUCACCCUCCCAAUGUUGGCAAUCUUUAAACCUGGAGCGACCGUGACGACAGGACGUCAGUCUGGCUACAUGUUGCCAAGCGUCACGUGACACGAUGAACAUCAUUUCCUUCCUGUCUGAUUUCAAAUUCAAGUCAUGCCAUGAUUUAGCCUGCUAAGCUAAUGUUCAACUGGGGGGCAACAAUGACUUAUUGUAACAGCAGCAGCUUUUUUUUUUUUGGAACUCUAUUUAUAGGGCAUUACUUAGGAAGUUGAUAGGUAGCAGCUAACAUAAACAUGCUACAAACCACAUGUAAACUAAGUUUUCAUAUUAGCGUGGUGAUGUCGCCACAGACAUUACCGCACAAUGUGUUUGUCCCAUAAUGACACUUUCACACAUUUUACUGCACAUUCCCAUGUUAGCCUGUGUGAAGCAGGUUGUAGACUACCCACCAGGUGACUUUGGGCUCUGGGUGUUCAGUCACCGCCACCUCCAGAUUGACUGGCACGCCACCCAUGACAGCAGCUUUUGACAGUGGCAUGGUGAAGGGAGCUAGACCAGAUUCAAAGGCUUGUUGGUGUGGAAAAAGCCUCUUCUGGGUCUGGGGAUGGGGUGCCACUGGAAGGGGGAGUCCUUGAAACUGAGGAGUAAACUUGAUCUCCUCACGGAUCGCCACAGGCUGGCAAAAAUCUUGGUCUUCCUUGGGGGUUAGUUCAUGGGAUGGUGGGAAAGGGGUGGUGACAUGUAGGCUAGCUUUCUUUGCUAACACUGUUGGCAAAGCAGUAACAGGAAGGAGGGAGGUGUUGCUGGGGGUCAUGCCAUGACCAUGCACACUCUGCUUGCUGCUGUUACAACCACUGCAUUGUGACUCUGGAGGCCAGGUGGUCGCAAAGACUUCUGGUCCAUCAUGAUAAAGCGAUCUUUCACACUCGCUGUGUGUUGCAAUGGAAUGGCCACAAAAUAUCUGAGGCUGGACUUCAGUGGUCAUGUUAUGGAGGCUUAUUUGGGACCCAAAGACUGAGAGAGGUUCCUCUCUGAUUUGCAAAGAAGAUAAAUCUUGAUCAAGACCAAUCCUAAAGUCUAAUUUGGACUCUGGACUGUCUUGGAAAAAGCUGGUGCUGAUUUGUGGAGAAGUUGCCAUGCUCCCGUGUUUGAAGUGGUCCUUCUCCUGUGGGGGCAUAACUUGAUUGUCUUGGUCACUGCUGCUAGGGGUUGACGGGCAGUUCAAGGUUUUAUUGGUGACUGUAACAUCUUCUUCUUUGCUAGAUUGCUUGCAGGGUGUUUCUUGAUCAAGAUCAAAAAUUGUGUCAUCUCUGAAGAGAUUCUGUGGGUCUGGACCAAUAUGUGGCAUGGUGCCACCUUGACAUGAAGUGAAGCUGCUUCUUGUAGAUGAUUGAAAAUUGUAGAUGGUGCUCUUGACUGUGCUCCAUUUUGAGCGUGUGUCAGGUAGCUUGAAUGGAGUUAUUUUUUUCUCAGCUUGGAAGGUAUCCAGGAGGGAUUGUGGACCACGAAUGUCCUGAGGGAAAGUCGUUGUGGUUUGAGGGAUAAUCAUGUGGAACUUGUGCAUCCCUGUGCAUUGUUGAGGGCCCCUACUCUUGUUCAGAUCAAAGUCUGGACUUUGAGAAGGUAAAGGACAACAGGUAGCAGUCUGAUUACUGGUUCCGGUUUUUAGAAAGCUUAUUUGUAUGAGCUGAGCCUUGCUGCUUGGAUUUCUCUGCUCUAGCUUACACUGACUGCAACCAUGACUUUGUGAGGAGCUCCUCCUCUCCAGGACAUCUUUGCUCUUGUAGGUUGACUUUGUAGGAGGAAUACUGGCUGUUAAUGUCUUUCCAGUCUGUGUGCUGAUUGGUUGUCUUGGAACAGGAGACAAAUGACUCUUGAGAAAUGAGUUGGACAUAAAUAUCUCUCUGGAAAAGAGACAAAAGAAUCUUAAACCUGGACGACUACAUACACAGUAUAAUACAGUAUAAUACCAGGAAGAACUUAAAGUCAAGUUUACGCUACAAGCUAGAAUCUCAUUUAUUUUAUUUGCUUGUGUUAAGUCCAAGUGGACAUCCUUAGAUUUGGACUUUUAGAUGGUUAUUUCAAAGAUCUGAGACAAGGACAACAAAAACUGCCUGCUGUUACCUUGUAUCACUGUGAAGACUAGAGGGGGCAGUGACAAAACUCUCUGCCUGACUGGAUUCUUUAUGCUGCUUGGCUGCAACAGUAGCAAGUCCAGUCCCAGGUAUCUCUGGCUGGUUCUUGUACUCGUAUUUGUUGAUGGACUGGCUGUUGUGGAUACUGGUGGAGCUGAAACAAAAAUGCUCCUCCACAUCGUCCUGAAAAAGGAUGGACUCUGGUGUCUCUGCCAGUGGUGGAAGUGAAAUAUCGUCAGACGAAGCACACUCGUACUCAUCAUCACUGGACAGAAAAACCUCUGCCACCACAUCCUGUUGCUGGAGCUCCUCCUCCAACAGGCCACCUGCCGGUUCCUUCUGCAUGAGGACUUUCAGUUAAUACAUGAACAAAAGUUGUACCAGCAGUUGUACCAGCAAGAACAGCAAUAUUCAGAUUUUUAACCUGCACUGAUGCACUCUGAGAAGUGUGCAUGGCCUGAAGCGAGGUGGAGUCAAGCUGUCCGUAGAUGACAUAGACACGGCGUCCGACCUCCACUGGUGAGCAGGACAGCCUGAAGGUGUGGGUGGAGCAGUAGGAGGACGCUCCAGGAUUCUCCUCACAUUGUGAGCGCUGCCUGUGGCAGGGCGUGAGACCAGCUGACGUUAGCAUGCAAUACUGUAUAUUUAUUCGCAUUUUCGUAUGUUGACUAAUGCUGUCAGUUAGCACCUGCUCUGUGAGUUGUCCGUCUUCAGUGAUGAGUGUUUCAGAUUUGCAUCAGUUAGCCAUGGCGCUAGCGCUUCUUUCCCAUCAUGCUGAGUGGUCACUUCGGGGGUGUGGCCUGUCUCCUCACCCUGGCAGGACACACUGAGCCACGCCCCCUCCCUGAUCUCUGACCCCAGCUGGACCUUAAGCUCCUGCAGACGCUUUCUAGAAUGACUGUGGAUCAAAGAGACAAUUUGUAGCAUGUACCACACCACUCAUGGACGCACCUUCACAGUAAGGUGGGACGAGUCGACCUGGAUCUGCUCAGCAUUCCACUUCUGCUCAAUCAUCCUGUCAUCUUCCACUUUCUGGUUGCCAAAAAAUUUGCUGAACUCUGCCUUUGACUUCACCUGCUGGAGGUCACGCAUCAGGGCGUGGUCACGUAAAGACGCCUCGAUGAGCCACGGCAUACUCUGAGUGUACAGAGAUGCCACACUGUGCUCCAGCUGCUCCAUUCGAAACUUGGUUGGAGCCUGGCAGGAAGUACAAUCCACAACAUCUUCAAAGUUUAUUUUUCAUGCGCCACCCAUGACAAACUAGCUUGCAGCUCAGCGUCAUUUACGGAAGAGACGUCAUCAGGGUGACCUCUGUCAGCUAAAGAGUAAACAAACACUUCUCACGGUAGAUGGUCAACUUGGUUCAGUUUAAGACAACAAUGGACAAAGCAAGUGCAGAGAACGAGAGACAGAUGGACUCCCACCUCGAGUUCUGUUCUUUGCAGUGAUCAUUUCACUGAUGACUGCUAUGAAGGAACAUCUUUACAAGAAGCAUUUGGCUUGAAAGUACAGUAUAAAUGCAUUUUGAAAAAGGAUGCUAUUCCGCUGUUAUUCACCAAAAAAAACAACACAACGAAGAAUGACCACUACAUCAAAGUUGGCAGAAGAAAUUGAUGGAUUUGGUGACGUGUCUCCUCGUACGCACUCGGAGUACCACAUAGAGGUCCAGCAGCGUCUGACUGGAGGAACGCCUCCAGCUGUACAAACACACGUAGCUCGGACACUUCCUCCUCCUUCAACUCCUCCUUCAGCAGCAGGUGGUUCUGGGCUGGGGUCAAGGCGUCCCAGUCUUUCAGCAGGAUCUGGACUUGAUCGUCCAGUCUCUGGGUGAGCAAGCAAAGAGGAUGAGUCAAACAGAUUCAAGACUCUUGUGAAUGUGGUGGACCAGCACUCACAGCAAAAUGUGGUCCGGCCAGUCUAAAUUGCUGCUGUAGCCUGGAGGUCUGCCCGUGGGAGCCCAGAUCCACCUGAGUGCAGGAGUCCAGCAGCUUUGAGACCUCCUUCAGGUCCCGCGCAGCCUGUAAAGGGACACACUCAUGUCCAGAAUUCCAAAAGGUCUUUGUUAGGCCUUAGGGGAGAUCUACGCUCUACAGAGUGAUAAUAUAUUUUAGUCCUAUUUGGCCUCAGUGUUGCUCUAGUUGUCCCAUUCUGGAGUGACCACACACACCUUACGGAGUCUCUCCUGGUACUUGCUGCAGAGCUUUCUGUCCUCGCCCCGCUUCCUGUUUUCAAUUUCAAGUUUACGCCGCAGGUCAGAAACUUCCUGUUGGCUUCUGCCGAGUCUCUCUGCCAUUUGCUGCACCGCCGUCGCCAUAGACUGCAGGUUCAAGCCUGAUACCGACGCCUGACUCACAAGUUAGGAUGGACAAAAUCUUAUUGGACCUCAUCUUAUUCAUUGAAAUCAUCAUGUGAAAGUUUAGAAUUAUGUGGUCCCCGUAGGGUCCUCUGGUUACCGUGGCGAUGCUACUGAUGAACUUGCUGGCCUCUUCCUGGGCUGUGAUGACCUUUUGCAUGGUUUCCCACCAGGAUGUGCCCUUCGUCAUACUAACAUCUUCCUCCUCUUUCUCGCCCUCCAGUGCACGUCUAUGGUUCUUUAUGUCUUUUUCCAGCUGAACAACAACAAGCAGAUUUUUGCUCACUGCUGUGUCACAUGCUGGCCAACAUGUGACACAUGUUGGUUGUUUUAUGUUGCUGUGCUGACCUGCUGUGCUGUCCUGAUGAAAGACACGAAGCCUCGCAACACACGCAUGUUACACUCCACAAUAUUGUUCAGGCUCUUCACCUCGUCCAGGACUGCAGAGACCCGAGCAGAUAGCUGGACCUCUGCCGCUGGCCCAGUUCUGCCUCUUUGCUUCAGCUGCACAGUCAGAGACUUCAAGCGGGACAGAUGAGAGACACGACCACCAGGCACCUCUAGUUGAGUUUUGCUGGGAGGUCCCAUGCAUGGAACUUGCAGACGCUGCAGGAGCUGCAUCACGUUGUUGGCGUCAUGACCAGCAGUCUUUGUCAGAAAGAGGAUGACAAGUGACAAGAUGAAAUACUACACUCUCAGAGAGGAGCAAAACUUGCCACUGGAUGCCCUUGUGUGUACCUCAGCCCAUGUGCGCAGCAGAAGGCUAAGCUUGUAGCUCAAUGCUAAUAAGCCCAUCACGCACCUUGAGGACAGACACGACGAGCUGCGAUUGGCCGGCCUGGACAGCAAUGGUGCUGAGAGUUGUGAAAGACUUUCCAUUGUCUGUCCUAGUCACCCCUGCAUCCUCAUGUCCUCUGCGUGUUGCCACCUCCAGUCCCUCACCACUCGUCAUGACUCUGCCUUUACAGCUAGCUUCUUGUCGACUUUGAUGCCACAUUGGCACCACUUCCCGUCGGCUGGCAUGAACACCGUCAAAGAACACCUAGCACGUUGGAGGAGCAGGUUCUAGAAAGACUUGAAGAGUCUUUUUGCCGUAUGAAUCUGCCUUCCUGAGUGUGAAACAUGAGCCUCAGCUGACCCGCUGCAGCUUAAAAUAGACAGCAUUCUUGUCACACUGAGCAUGCUUGAGAAGAACACUUGACAUGUCAACACACAAUCAACAAGAGGUCAUUUUUGUCUUUUUAUUUUUCAUGAUGUUAUCAGUGUUAAGGAUAAAACAAAAAGUUCACAAACUAUGGACAGUCAUGGCCAAAAGUUUUGAGAAUUAAACAAAUACUAAUUUUCACAAUCUGUUGCCUCAUAUUUUAUUAUUGCAAUUUCACAUACUCCAGAAUGUUAUGAAGCGUGAUAAAAUGAAUGGCAAGUCCCUCUUUGUCAUGAAAAUCCCAAUAAUCCCAAAAAAACAUUUCCACUGCAUUUCAGAUCUGCCAUAAAAGGACCAGUUGACAUCAUAGUUACGGUAUUUACUGAUUCU